CUCGGCGGAGCCGGCGCUGCGAAUGGACUGAUGGCCGCUGAGGCUGCUCCUGGCGCGGUUCAUCAUCGGCCGCCGCACUUUCGCGACUGAGACGAAACGACACUCACCUUUACUUAAUGGAAGGCUUCGCUUACAUCCUGAACUUAAAGGAACUACAGAAAGGGACAGAAACUGCUUUCUUUUUAAACAAUGCGCUGAAAGGUUACUAGUGAUAGGAGGCUUAGUGAAGCGCGUGAUGUGAACGGCCACGCUGCAAGGCUGGAGAGAAAAGAGGAGGGAGUGAAGUUGCACCCUGAUCGCGAAUCCUCGGCCUUUUAUCAGGGGCGCCGCCACUCGGGGUCCGACCAUUCGCCUCCAACGAGGGGACAGCGAAUCUGCUGUCGUGUGCAGUCCACAGCAACCACAGGUGGGGCAACAGGAGGAGCGCUUGGGCACGACCACGUGACCCAGCACGAGCCACCGCCCGCCCCAAAAUGAAAUCAAAUCCUAAUCUCCCAAUCCCGGCAUGCCGGUCACUCCAGCCUUUCCAGGAGACUUGCGGCCGUGCAGCCCCUACACCUUUAUCUGGACUCCUGUCGUACUUGGCCCAGCUCCACUGGAUUCAGCCCUUGGAUAACCACCCUACCAGCCCCUAAAGAUGACUCCAUCCCCGUCGGUAUAGUUAAUUAAAGAAAAACAGGAGUCGAAUUUUCCUGGGGUAACUGGUUCUUUAGCAGGAGGGGAGCACUGGGGAGUAUCUUCAGGGUGGCUGGACUUUGCAGCCUCUUUAAUAACUUCCCCCUGUGCAGGUUGUAUCCUUUAUCACCCCACCCCGAUGCCCCGGUCUUCAGGAAAUGGCAGCAGGCCCAUAUUUCUGUAGGGUUCAGAGUUCUGUGAGGUAGAGCAUUCCUUCCAAUGGGAUCUUAGAAUUCCUAGAGUUGCAGAAUUUUACUGACUAGACCCAGGAGGUCUCAGGAGUCCAGACUUGCUUAAAGCUUGGCUCAAAAUUCCAAGGGAGCUCAUAACUCCAUGGGGCCCAGAGUUCCUGGCUCGGGAACAUUGGGAGGCCUGGGAUACAGUGCCUUAGCCUCAAGCAGAAAAGUGAACACAAUAUCUUUAUGGCUUGAAGGUAUAUGAAAUAAUGUCACUACAUCGGAGCAGCGCCUCUGCUUGCACACCUAUGGGAGUCUGCAGCUGUGACACGUAGAAGUUGGCCACAUCCAGGUCGGUGGCUCCAAAGUGGGCGGCCACACGCACACCCUCGUGCAACGUGAAGCUCACCUGAUGACCCACCAUGGCCAGCAGGCUGCGGAGGUAACGCUCCCGAAGGGCGGCUCGUGCCCGCUGCUCCUGGGAUUCCAGGGAUUCUUGAGCUAUGGGACACUCCUGGAUUUCAGGAACCUCUGGCCUCAAGGGGGCUCUGCGUCCAUCAGGGGCAAAGCCACGGCUGAAGCCAUCAGGGCCCCGGGGCAGCCGGAGCACAGGCACGGGAAUGUUCACUGGAGUUUGCAUUGUCUUGGCUGUUGAGUGAAGAAAAAGAGCAGGAAGUCAUUACAUGGGCUUCAAACAGAGCCUGGCGCACAGGAGGCACUCAGUGAAUGCUUGCAAAAUGAAUUUUUAUUGUAAUGCAUUUAAUGAAAUAGCCCAGAUUACUAUCAGGCACCUAAUAAGAAACGUGACCGACUAUUUUUCUCGCUUGGGGGUGCGUGUGGGCAUGCCGUGUCUCAGUUUCACCCGCCCUAAAACGGGAUCAGGGAUAGCUGUUUCAAUGCCUUGUGGGAACUCGGUGUGAUUAAAUUUGGUCACUAAGCCAAACGCACGGGACACUGCCUAGAUUGAGUUAGGCCGCCGUCAGGGCCCCAGCAGGGCGGCUCGGUCCCCUCCCAUGAGCCCCGCCCUGGUAGGCGGAGCCACGGGCCCGGCCA
This 1904-nucleotide long non-coding RNA is filed under the name Homo sapiens (human). Its description in RNAcentral is "HSALNT0398207". The record is from RNAcentral. Lineage: Eukaryota; Metazoa; Chordata; Mammalia; Primates; Hominidae.